CAAGCCAUAGUCAGAGGCCGCCCUCCACGGAGGUUACCGAGGAAGAGACUCGAACAUCCCAAAGGAUCGACAAGACCAUGCUGACAAGUCUGAAGGCCAAGAAGCAGGAGCUGGCCAACAGCUCGGAUGUGACCCUCCCAGACCGGCCGCUGUCCCCUCCUCUCACUGCACCUCCCACCAUGAAGUCAGCGGAGUUCUUCGAGAUGCUGGAGAAGAUGCAGGGGAUCAAGCUUGAAGAGCAGAAGCCGGGACCCCAGAAGAACAAGGAUGACUAUAUCCCAUACCCCAGCAUCGACGAGGUUGUAGAGAAGGGAGGCCCGUACCCUCUCAUCAUCCUGCCCCAGUUUGGGGGCUACUGGAUUGAGGACCCGGAGAACGUGGGCACACCAACGUCACUGGGCAGCAGCAUCUGUGAGGAGGAGGAAGAGGACAACCUCAGCCCCAACACCUUCGGCUACAAGCUCGAGUGCAAGGGCGAAGCCAGGGCCUACCGCAGGCACUUCCUAGGGAAGGAUCAUCUCAACUUCUACUGUACUGGCAGCAGCCUGGGGAACUUGAUCCUGUCGGUCAAGUGCGAGGAAGCCGAGGGGAUUGAGUACCUUCGGAUCAUCCUCAGGUCCAGACUGAAGACAGUGCAUGAGCGGAUCCCUUUGGCAGGACUGAGCAAGUUGCCCAGCGUCCCUCAGAUUGCAAAGGCUUUCUGUGAUGAUGCAGUGGGGCUGAAAUUCAACCCUGUCCUGUACCCCAAGGCCUCUCAAAUGAUUGUGUCCUAUGAUGAGCACGAUGUCAACAACACAUUCAAAUUUGGGGUCAUUUAUCAAAAAGCCAGGCAGACCCUGGAGGAGGAGCUAUUUGGGAACAAUGAGGAGAGCCCAGCUUUCAAGGAGUUCUUGGACCUGCUGGGGGACACAGUCACACUGCAGGACUUCAAAGGUUUCCGAGGCGGCCUGGAUGUGACCCAUGGACAGACAGGGGUGGAAUCAGUGUACACGACAUUCCGGGACAGGGAGAUCAUGUUUCACGUCUCUACAAAGCUGCCGUUUACCGAGGGAGACGCCCAGCAGCUCCAGAGAAAGAGACACAUUGGCAAUGACAUUGUGGCCAUCAUCUUCCAAGAAGAAAAUACACCAUUUGUCCCAGAUAUGAUCGCCUCCAAUUUCUUACAUGCCUACAUUGUUGUGCAGGCUGAGACCUCGGGCACAGAGACUCCAUCCUACAAGGUCUCUGUCACUGCAAGAGAAGAUGUGCCUGCCUUUGGCCCACCUCUGCCCAGCCCCCCUGUUUUCCAGAAGGGCCCGGAGUUCAGGGAGUUUCUGCUCACCAAGCUCACCAAUGCAGAGAACGCUUGCUGCAAGUCGGACAAGUUUGCAAAGCUGGAGGACCGGACAAGGGCUGCCCUCCUGGACAACCUUCACGAUGAGCUCCACACCCACACGCAGGUCAUGCUGGGACUGGGGCCAGAGGAGGACAAGUUUGAGAACGGAGGCCAUGGGGGAUUCCUGGAGUCUUUUAAGAGGGCCAUCCGUGUGCGUAGCCACUCAAUGGAGACCAUGGUGGGCAGCCAGAAGAAGCAGCACAGUGGGGGUAUCCCCGGCAGCCUCAGCGGGGGCAUCUCCCACAACAGCAUGGAGGUCACCAAGACUACCUUCUCGCCUCCGGUGGCGGUGGCAGUGGUGAAGAACCAGUCACGGAGUCCCAUCAAGCGGCGGUCGGGGCUCUUCCCUCGUCUGCACACAGGCUCUGAAGGCCAGGGGGACAGCCGGACAAGAUGUGACAGUACAUCCAGCACUCCCAAGACCCCGGAUGGUGGACACUCUUCUCAGGAGAUAAAGUCUGAGACCUCGUCCAAUCCCAGCUCUCCGGAAAUCUGUACCAACAAAGAGAAGCCCUUCAUAAAGUUGAAGGAGAAUGGCCGAGCCAACAUCUCCCGCUCCUCCUCCAGCACCAGCAGCUUCAGCAGCACUGCCGGGGAGGGCGAGGCCAUGGAGGAGUGUGACAGCGGGCCAGCCUUCCACAACCUCGCCCUUCAAGCAGGAGGUGUUUGUCUACAGCCCGUCCCCAAGCAACGAGAGCCCCAGUCUGGGGACAACCGCCACCCCCAUCAUCAUGAGCCGGAGUCCCACGGAUACCAAAAGCAGAAACUCCCCGAGAUCAAACCUGAAAUUCCGCUUUGACAAGCUCAGCCAUGCCAGCUCCAGUGCGGGUCACUAAUGUGAAAGAGGAGUCCUUUGCCUGUCCAAGGUGGGUCAAGGAAGUCCUGAUUCUGUCCCAGAGAAGGCUCCUGUUCCAGCAGUUUGGGGGUGCCACCCACUACUAUGACCGUCACUGGUACACUGCCCCACCGGCCACCUGCCCACUGACCAGCUGUAUGUCCCAGUGUCUCGACCCAGCCACAGCCCUGCCCACCCCUUUGCCA
RNA transcript from Galeopterus variegatus (Sunda flying lemur), 2416 nucleotides. It is a transcript of the gene named RAP1 GTPase activating protein 2, with no coding region annotated. Lineage: Eukaryota; Metazoa; Chordata; Mammalia; Dermoptera; Cynocephalidae. The record is from RefSeq and is a predicted model, not a curated record. The transcript has 25 exons.